CAAUAGCGUAUAUUAAAGUUGUUGCAGUUAAAAAGCUCGUAGUUGGAUUUGUGGCUGGCGUGAGCGGCCUAGCACCCAGUGCCAGCGCUUUGCUCGCGUCGCCAUCUUUGGGUGGAACCUGUGUGGCAUUAGGUUGUCGUGCAGGGGAUGCCCAUCUUUUACUGUGAAAAAAUUAGAGUGUUCAAAGCAGGCUUAUGCCGUUGAAUAUAUUAGCAUGGAAUAAUGAGAUAGGACCUUGGUACUAUUUUGUUGGUUUGCGCAUCAAGGUAAUGAUUAACAGGGACAGUUGGGGGUAUUUGUAUUCCAUUGUCAGAGGUGAAAUUCUUGGAUUUUUGGAAGACAAACUACUGCGAAAGCAUUUACCAAGGAUGUUUNCAUUAA
This 381-nucleotide ribosomal RNA is filed under the name uncultured eukaryote. RNAcentral describes it as "partial 18S ribosomal RNA". It matches the Rfam family "Eukaryotic small subunit ribosomal RNA", at positions 592 to 976 of the family's 1831-position model. The record is from RNAcentral.